This 455-nucleotide ribosomal RNA is filed under the name Caribbiopheromera trinitatis. RNAcentral describes it as "partial 28S ribosomal RNA". The record is from RNAcentral. Lineage: Eukaryota; Metazoa; Arthropoda; Insecta; Phasmatodea; Diapheromeridae.
GAGAGAGUUCAAGAGUACGUGAAACCGUUCAGGGGUAAACGGGAGACGUCCUGAAUUCGAAAGGGAUGGAUUCAAGCAGCUCGGGGGUCCCGGUUGUACAGGCUCCCCGCACCAGAUGGUGCCUGGCGCCCGCGUGGUGGUUAACCCCGCCCGCGGUGUCGCUCGGCUGCCACUCGGUGUGACGAGGAUGCUCUUGCUCUCGGCUGGUGCACUUCCUCCCUAGUAGAAACGUUGCGACCCGUUGGGCGUCGGCCUCAGGGCCCGGGAAGGCAGCCCGCCCGCUCGCGGUGGUCGAGCAAGGCGGACUCCCGGAGACCCGGCCGUGCGCCCGACGGUAUGUCCAGAGGAAGCGACCCGCAGUGAAAGCGUUGAACAGUGCGUCCAGGCCGGCGCCCAGUGCGUGCAGUUAGGGUCUGUGUCUUAUACGCGCCUCUCUCGUGCGCCGACGUCGGUGG